This 95-nucleotide non-coding RNA is filed under the name Proteomonas sulcata. Lineage: Eukaryota; Cryptophyceae; Pyrenomonadales; Geminigeraceae. The record is from RNAcentral.
GGCUCUGAAGAGGCGGGAGUCUGAGUUGUCCGAAUUUGUGCGAGUCGAGGGACGGAGGAGGCUUCUUGACUCAUGAACGGCUCCAGGCUGGCAAC